GACGAACGCUGGCGGCGUGCUUAAUACAUGCAAGUCGAACGGUAAGGCCCUGCUUUUGUGCGGUGCUCGAGUGGCGAACGGGUGAGUAUCACGUGAGUAACCUGCCCUUGACUUUGGGAUAACUUCAGGAAACUGGGGCUAAUAUCGGAUAUGAGCUCCUGCGGCACGGUUGGGUUUGUAAAGUUUCGGCGGUUGGGGAUGGAAUCGCGGCCUAUCAUCUUGUUGGUGGGGUAGUGGAUUACCAAGGCACUGACGGGUAGCCGGCCUGAGAGGGUGACCGGCCACAUUGGGACUGAGGUACGACCCAGACUGAUACUGGGGGCAUGGGUGGGACAUAGUGCACACUGGGCGGAAUCCUGAAGCAAGAACUCCGCGUCGGGGAUGACGGCCUUAGGGUUAUAACCCGCUUUCGCCUGUAACGAAGCGUGAGUGACGGUAAUGUAUAAGAAAGCAACGGCUAACUACGUG
RNAcentral lists this ribosomal RNA (468 nucleotides) under uncultured bacterium. RNAcentral's name for it is "partial 16S ribosomal RNA". It matches the Rfam family "Bacterial small subunit ribosomal RNA", at positions 28 to 507 of the family's 1533-position model. The record is from RNAcentral.